Long non-coding RNA from Hemicordylus capensis (graceful crag lizard), 2000 nucleotides. RefSeq lists it as uncharacterized. The record is from RefSeq and is a predicted model, not a curated record. The transcript has 4 exons. NCBI's taxonomy places the organism in Eukaryota, Metazoa, Chordata, Lepidosauria, Squamata, Cordylidae.
UUCAAGCCAAACAGAAGCCAGUGCCAGAAAACCAAUCAGCAACUGAAACACAUGGAGACAAAAUGGCAUCCGCUACACAAAUCCUGCGAACCGAUUUGUGAUGAAUCAGGGGUGAUUAAAUCAAUUAGCGGGCAAAUCAAAUUGCAUAGCCCUAAUGCAGACACCACAAAAGUCAAAGAGAACUGACUCAGAGUAAGAUGCUACACAGUUGAUUUAGAUUGGCCAGCUAAAACCACUGACUUUUAGAAAGGCAUGCUGCACACUGCUGCUCCUCUCCUCAGUGAAAUGCAGUCUUGGAGAUUCAUGCUUCUAAUCUGAAACAGAAUUGCCUAGAGGCCUCAAAGGCUGAGUUGGAAGUAAGGUGCAUGAACUGCAGAUCAUUUACAUCCUUUGUAAGGCUAUUUAAGAUCAUUGUUUACUGUUAAGACGACCAUAAGUGAUUAGUGUGAAAUAUGUUCAGUAUAAGCCUUUCCUUUCAAAGACAGACAAACAUAAAGAUGUAAUAACUGCCAUAUGUAAGAAAAAAUAAAAAUAAAUAAAAAUAAAAAGAUUCCAUGGUAGAAACAAAAUGGACUCGAUCAAUGUCUUUUUUGUUUCUGAAAAAUCCAACAUUUUUAUAAAAUAUUGUGAUUAUUCUGCUAAUAUUGGCUUUAACAGUGGAAAAAUAAAUAUUCCCAACAUAUACAUAUAUCACAGAAUACCUUGGUGUCCCUUCUAAUGAUUUUAAAUGAGAUGGACUAAAUCACUUCCCUGGGCUGGGGGCAGUAAACACUGUAUAACAGCAUUGUGGAGUUGUGAGGAACACCAACAGCUAUGUUCUCAGAAUACUUGGGUGUUCCUAUAAAAUUUUAGUCUUUGGCCUUUAAAAACCCGCAAACAAUAGAAGGAAUUAUUCCAUUGAAAAAAAUUCUGAAAACCACAGACCUCCACAAUGGGAACCAAGUCUUCAUGGCAAGUUGUGGUUUUUUUAAAAUAGCACUGCUGAUUAGAUAAAGCAAUGACAGGCCAAAUGUAAGUGACUAGCUUUCGUUGCAAAAAAAUUCAUUGCAAUGCUCACGUGGAGGGCGCCUUCAAAUCUCCACCUGACACGUGGCUUACAUAUAUCAUUUAUUUUAGGCUUUCAGCAAGCCAAUAUUCUUUCCCAUUGGUAAAAACCGAUUUCACAGCACAAUUACCUGUGGCACAGCUACAGCUUUAUUCAUGAUCAGAAAUCAUUUUCAUGUCAAUGUUUGCAUGGAAUGAUGUUUGUACACCCACUGCUGUCAUUGCACACAGACUGGGUGCUUUUGAUUUGGCCCUAUCCUGCUUUGGGGGUCAUCUCUAGCCCCAUUUCUUUGGGCUGCAUCAGCUAUAAGGGAAAACUUGCUGGCCAGAAGGUUUUCCGGAGAGAGAGAGAAAUCAGUCUAAGAAGGCAGCUCAAAGCAGCAAGCAAUACUAGCAGAAACCUUCCACCCAUGAACCUUUCCCAUCCUAACCGAUUCCUAAUCAUGACACUACCUGGUCCAGCAUGAACCUACCUGAGUCUAAAAGUCAUCCCCAGAGUCCCAGAGGUGAAUGGGAAUAGGGCCUCUUUGUUUUUGGCUGCAGUGGCACAUACCUUGCCACUAGGAGCUGGGCUUGCCAUCACAAUAAAGGUGAGGCAGGGGCAGUGGCAGCAGCAGCAGGCAGGUGGAGUGGCACUGGGGGAGGCCAGCAUUCGCCAUCCCUUGGCAUUCCACCUCAUGGACAAGUUGCCCAUAGUUAUGGCUAAGGAAUGUUUUCUGAAGGAAGGUUCACCUGGGGCCAGAUCUUAGGCCCUUUGGAGCCACAUAAAAGCCUUCUUAUUCACCCAUGCCUUUUUGACCAUUUACAGUUUUUCUUUGGUUUAUGCUGAUAUAUUCUGCUGCUUUUAAUAAUUUCUGCUUUAUCUUUUUAUUGUACAACACUUUGUAAGCCAUUGUGGAAGGUUUUGGACAUAAGCGUGGGAUAUUAAUUUUGUGUAAUAAAUAAAUAUGAGCAGA